UCCUACCAGUAGUCAUAUGCUUGUCUCAAGGAUUAAGCCAUGCAUGCCUAAGAGUAAAUGGAUUCAUAGUAGGUCUGCGAAUGGCUCAUUACAACAGCAACAAUCUACCCGAUGAAGUGGGAUGUAACAGUCCCGCCAGACGGAUAACCUCUGUAACUCAGAGGCUAAUACGUGUACGAAGAAUGUAUCCUCAUCAAAGGCGGUUUGGUGAAAGCUAGAUCGCCGAGGGUGCAUGCAGUUGGCCGAUACAAAAACCAACGCUCGCAAGAGCAGUGUCUAACAUUGAUGAAGCAGGCUAACCAUCAGCGAUAGCGCAUCGACCUCGAGUCGGCGCGAGAUCGGACGAACUUCUGCCCUAUCAGCUGCGAUGGUAAUGUAGUGGAUUACCAUGGCUUUUACGGGUAACGGAGAAUCAGGGUUCGAUUCCGGAGAGGCCGCCUGAGAAACGGCGACCACGGCUAAGGCCGGCAGCAGGCGCGCAAAUUGCCCAAUUUCAACACUGAAGAGGCAGCGACGAGAAAUAGCAACUCUGCUGCUCACACGAGCUGUGGAGAUUGCAAUGGAUGAUAUCUAAACCCAUCAAUGAACACGAUUGGAGGGCAAGUCUGGUGCCAGCAGCCGCGGUAAUUCCAGCUCCAAUAGCGUAUACUAAUGCUGUUGCAGUUAAAAAGCUCGUAGUUGGAUUCAGGCUUGGAUGUUGCAGAGAGGCCCUUCGCUUCGCCCACGGCUGGUGGUUCUGCCAUUCAGUCGUGAUUGGCGUAGUGUUGUGGAUUCAACCCCUCUGCGUUCGACAUCCAGCCUUCAGACACGGGACUGAUAUUUUCUAGCCCUGCUGAAGCCUCCUUCACUGGUGGUGGAAGCGAUUCCGCACAAGACUUGUGCAUACGGGCCGCCCGUGGAUGUUACUGUGAACAAAACAGCGUGUCCAAAGCAGCCGACUUGUUCGGUUGAAUGUCUAAGCAUGGAAUAACAAGGGAUCGACCGUCAGGUCUCCUUUUUGUUGGUUUUCCUGACCUGAAUACUGGGCAAUGCAGGCCGAUGUAUCUGUUAUCGGGGUUAAUGGUUUCCUUGCUCUCAAGGCAUGGUUGCCAUCCCUGUUUCAGAUCUCGCGCCUAUCGGGAUCAAUAGGAGCUAACGGGGGGAUAGGUACUGUGACGCUAGUGGUGAAAUACUUAGACCGUCACAUGACCAACUACUGCGAAGGCAUUUCUCAAGCAUGCUUCCAUUAAUCAAGAACGAGAGUGUGGGGAUCGAAGAUGAUCAGAUACCGUCGUAGUC
This 1278-nucleotide ribosomal RNA is filed under the name uncultured soil eukaryote. Its description in RNAcentral is "SSU rRNA". It matches the Rfam family "Eukaryotic small subunit ribosomal RNA", at positions 12 to 1025 of the family's 1831-position model. The record is from RNAcentral.